Drosophila nasuta is the source of this 1500-nucleotide long non-coding RNA. RefSeq lists it as uncharacterized. The transcript has 4 exons. Lineage: Eukaryota; Metazoa; Arthropoda; Insecta; Diptera; Drosophilidae. The record is from RefSeq and is a predicted model, not a curated record.
CCAAUUGUUUCCACCUGUUGUCAGUAAGUGGAAAACUAACAAGUAAGAAGGCUACAGUCGAGUGUGCUCGGCUGUGAGAUACCCGCUACCCAUUUUGAAUAAAAGCAAAAUGUUGGGGUAUCAUUCUCAAAAUAUACCAAAACAUUAUACCACAAAAAUACAUAAAAAUAUUUUAAAUGGUAUAUUUGGUAUAUUGAUAUAGUAUUACAUUCGAGAUAUAUUAUAGAGUACCAAAUAUACCAGAUUGAUGUCCAAAGCAACUAAGACCCCUAGUAAGUAUGCGUAUUUGCCCAUACAAAAAUAUUUCUUUAAUAACUUCGACAAUUUUUAUCUGGACGCAGCCAAAUUUUAUGUGGGCAGAAGUGGGCGUGAUAAACAUUUGAUCUACCUGUGAAUAAGCAAGGGUUGUCGAAAAAAUGUGUAGCUCUUAUAAUCUCUGAGAUCAAAGUGUUCAUACGGACAGACAGACAGACGGACAUGGACAGAUCGUCUCGGCUGUUGAUGCUGAUCAAGAAUAUGAAUACUUUUUAGGGUCGGAGAUCCCUCCCUAUGCCUGUUACAUACAUUUCCUGUCGGCAUAAAGCUAUGGAUUAUACCCUUCUCCCUAUUGGUAGCGGGUAUAAAAACUCAGAAUGCUUCGAGAAUAUUUUAUGAUUGUAUCAAGAAUUUCUCCCAAACGAUUCGUAAUUUAAAAUAAAUUGAAAACUUAAUCGUUCGUUUUAUUUCAGUUGAAAUAGUUCAAAGUAGACAUUUUACAAUUGUUAAAAGUCUAUUUACCUUAUAAACAUCAUAGUUCGAUAUAAUAGAAUCGCAGCAUGUAUACAAAUCGUUUAGCAUUUCAACUACUUCAAAAGUUCUUUUAGAUGCAUUCUAACAAGUCGUAUAUCGGGACGGACUUCAGGAUCUUCUUCCCAGCAAAGUCGCAAGCAUUGCCGUAUAUAGUUUGGUAUAUCAAGGUAGCUAAGAGCUGGGCGAAACACUCCAUGUUGCACACUGCAGAUAAAAUCUUACCUUCAUUGGUAUAUGUAGUUUCACCCCAGGUUCCAUUACGCCCAAUCAUCUCGUAUAGUAAAAUGCCAAAGGAGUAAAUAUCGCCCUUCUGGGAACCACGGGCUGGUCUCAAAGAAUUUCUUAAAAGUUCAGGUGCCAUGGUAAGGGAGCGUUUCAUUUCCAAUUCAAUUCUGUAAUAAAUUCACUGUAACCGCAUAUUUUUAUUUAUAUUUUAUAUUUGUACUUAUUGGGUUCAUCCUGGCCGGCUUUUAAUUCAUGGAGUCCAAAAUCAGAGAUUUGGCAUACCCAUCGAGAAUCGAUAAGACAGUUGCUAGACCUUAGAUUUCCGUGCGAUAUUAUCUCCGAAUCGUCGACGAUGUUUCCACGAAAAAGAGCUUUUGCAAAAUGUUGUUGUUUAUUGACUUUCAAAAAGUGCACAUACUUUACAUACCAAUGUUUGUGAAUGAUCUUUUAUUUGGUUCUCCAACAACCAGAAUACUUUGUCGACAU